CAGUCGCCGCGGUAAUACGGAGGGAGCUAGCGUUGUUCGGAAUUACUGGGCGUAAAGCGCACGUAGGCGGCUAUUCAAGUCAGAGGUGAAAGCCCGGGGCUCAACCCCGGAACUGCCUUUGAAACUAGAUAGCUUGAAUCCAGGAGAGGUGAGUGGAAUUCCGAGUGUAGAGGUGAAAUUCGUAGAUAUUCGGAAGAACACCAGUGGCGAAGGCGGCUCACUGGACUGGUAUUGACGCUGAGGUGCGAAAGCGUGGGGAGCAAACAGGAUUAGAUACCCCGGUAGUCCCUGUCUCUUAUAC
This 301-nucleotide ribosomal RNA is filed under the name uncultured bacterium. Its description in RNAcentral is "partial 16S ribosomal RNA". It matches the Rfam family "Bacterial small subunit ribosomal RNA", at positions 509 to 807 of the family's 1533-position model. The record is from RNAcentral.